AUUGAACGCUGGCGGCAGGCCUAACACAUGCAAGUCGAGCGGUAGCAGCGCGUUUGCUCCUGGCUUCAGCGGCGGACGGGUGUGUAAUGCCUAGGAAUCUCUCUGGUUGGGGGGGAAAACGUCGGGAAACUGGCGCUAAUACCGCAUACGCUCAGAGGGAGAACGUGGGGGAUUCUCGGAUUUCACGCCUACAGAUGCGCCUAGGUCGGAUUAGCUAGUUGGUGGGGUAAAGGCCUACCAAGGCGACGAUCCGUAGCUGGUCUGAGAGGACGAUCAGUCACACUGGAACUGAGACACGGUCCAGACUCCUACGGGAGGCAGCAGUGGGGAAUAUUGGACAAUGGGCGCAAGCCUGAUCCAGCCAUGCCGCGUGUGUGAAGAAGGUCUUCGGAUUGUAAACCGCUUUUAGUUGGGACGAAAAGCAGUAAGUUAAUACCUGGCUGUUUUGACGGUACCAAAAGAAUAAGCACCGGCUAACUACGUG
Molecule: ribosomal RNA, 484 nt
Filed under: uncultured bacterium
Lineage: Bacteria
Description: partial 16S ribosomal RNA
Rfam family: Bacterial small subunit ribosomal RNA
Source: RNAcentral